This 253-nucleotide ribosomal RNA is filed under the name uncultured bacterium. Its description in RNAcentral is "partial 16S ribosomal RNA". It matches the Rfam family "Bacterial small subunit ribosomal RNA", at positions 524 to 776 of the family's 1533-position model. The record is from RNAcentral.
GACAGAGGGUGCAAACGUUGUUCGGAAUUACUGGGCGUAAAGCGAGUGUAGGCGGUUUCCUAAGUCGGGUGUGAAAGCCCCGGGCUCAACCCGGGAAGUGCACUCGAAACUAGGAGGCUAGAGUAUCGGAGAGGUUGGUGGAAUUCUCGGUGUAGAGGUGAAAUUCGUAGAUAUCGAGAGGAACACCGGUGGCGAAGGCGGCCAACUGGACGAAUACUGACGCUGAGACUCGAAAGCGUGGGGAGCAAACAGG